This 427-nucleotide small RNA is filed under the name Histoplasma ohiense. RNAcentral's name for it is "hypothetical lncRNA". The record is from RNAcentral. Lineage: Eukaryota; Fungi; Ascomycota; Eurotiomycetes; Onygenales; Ajellomycetaceae.
ACGGGCGCUCAGGCAUCAACCUGAGCCAUGCUCCAAGCGACGGCGCGGAUUGGACAGGACAAGCUAAUUCUGGGAUAGUUUCACUGUGCGUGGCCUUUUUCUGCAGCGUUUCCCGCACACAAUAAUAAUGGCUUAUCAAAACCGAGCUUACCCUGUUGAUACAUAACUAACAGUACACCCAACCACACAAUUCGAAAUCGACGACAAGUCCACAGCAAAGAGGGGGGGAAAGGGAAAAAAAACUAAUCAAGGCAGUUAUCGUUGUUGUUGUUGUUAUUUGACGGAUUCGUUGUUCCAUUCAUCUAUUCUUCGAUUUUAAUAUUAUCUGCAAAAGGACGACAAGCAAGCCACAGCAGGGAAUCAGAUCCAGGAACAUCCUCAUCCAGUGAGCGGCGGCUGGAGGCGCAAAUCCUCGUUCCAGACGCAG